This 253-nucleotide ribosomal RNA is filed under the name uncultured bacterium. RNAcentral's name for it is "partial 16S ribosomal RNA". It matches the Rfam family "Bacterial small subunit ribosomal RNA", at positions 524 to 776 of the family's 1533-position model. The record is from RNAcentral.
UACGUAGGGGGCGAGCGUUGUCCGGAAUCAUUGGGCGUAAAGAGCGUGUAGGCGGCUUGGCAAGUCUGACGUGAAAGCCCGCGGCUCAACCGCGGAUUGUCGUUGGAAACUGCCUCGCUAGAGUCCGGAAGAGGAGAGCGGAAUUCCUGGUGUAGCGGUGGAAUGCGCAGAUAUCAGGAAGAACACCCGUGGCGAAGGCGGCUCUCUGGGACGGUACUGACGCUGAGGUGCGAAAGCGUGGGGAGCGAACAGG